RNAcentral lists this long non-coding RNA (600 nucleotides) under Homo sapiens (human). RNAcentral's name for it is "non-protein coding MIR29B2CHG:56". The record is from RNAcentral. Lineage: Eukaryota; Metazoa; Chordata; Mammalia; Primates; Hominidae.
ACACGCCCGGGAAGCGGCCGCCGCGGAGCCGGCGUCCGCAGCGGCUGCGCAUCUCGGGCCUGCAGCGGGGCGCUUGGCGGGCGGGGGCCGGGGGAGAGCCUGUUUGCGCAGUACCCCCGGAGGGCGGAAGGCCGCCGAGAGAAACAGCAAGUGACAGAGCAGAGGAACGGCUGGCCCAGCCAAUCCUGGAGCUGCUGUUGCAGCACUUGUUCCCCAAACAAGUGCUCCUACAUUCUGAUGACUCAGUGUAUCGGGAGCCGGGAGAUGGAGCUCUCAGCAGAGUGGCCAGGAUGUUCUGUCAACAUGAAAGCUACAAAAACAGCUCGGGGCUCUGAGCUGAUCCUUAGCCUGGGGUCAUUUUCAGGGAGGGCUGGACAGAGAAGGCGGCCACCGCCCGGGCAUCAGGAUGGGAGCGACACCAGAGGACUCAGGAGAGUGCAGCUUGCUCUGUGAGUGGGUGACAACCUCUUGGCGACUCAGGCUCAGCUGAGGAUGGUGCCAGUGUGCCGGAGACAGCCGUCAUACUGCCGGAUAGAGUGGCUCACUUGCAUGUAUUUGGAACAAAAAAAGGAGAUGCCUGGCAGCCCCGCUCUCUGCAGU